Long non-coding RNA from Megalobrama amblycephala (Wuchang bream), 413 nucleotides. RefSeq lists it as uncharacterized. NCBI's taxonomy places the organism in Eukaryota, Metazoa, Chordata, Actinopteri, Cypriniformes, Xenocyprididae. The record is from RefSeq and is a predicted model, not a curated record. The transcript is spliced from 3 exons.
GGAUUCCCCUGGUAAAGUGGAUGGAAUACAUAUACAGAUUUUCCCAGGGUCUACAUUUAAGACAAAUUGAUCUGAUGGAAGACUGUGUUGCCAGAACUUCAACAACAUUGUCCAGAAUGAACAAAUUGCUCAGAAAGGUUUGCAUCAAGGCAUUGAAGAAUCUGAAAAGAAGAACAGGUCUUAGAGUUGGUGGGAAGUCAAGACAGAAGUUUGUGGCCAUAGAUGAGUCUAAGUUUGCUCACAAGAGAAAGGUACAUCUGAUGUAAAAAAUAAAAAAGAAUGGAAGUUUUUUACCAUGUUGAAAUACUAAAGUUGGUUUAGUUGCAUUCAAUAAUACUUCCAGGGUUAAUAUCACAUCAAAAUACCACAUGCAAUCAAAAGACAUGAUUGAAUGACGAUGUUCCAAAAGGUAA